GAUGAACGCUGGCGGCGUGCCUAAUACAUGCAAGUCGAGCGAACAGACGAGGAGCUUGCUCCUCUGACGUUAGCGGCGGACGGGUGAGUAACACGUGGAUAACCUACCUAUAAGACUGGGAUAACUUCGGGAAACCGGAGCUAAUACCGGAUAAUAUAUUGAACCGCAUGGUUCAAUAGUGAAAGACGGGUUUGCUGUCACUUAUAGAUGGAUCCGCGCCGCAUUAGCUAGUUGGUAAGGUAACGGCUUACCAAGGCAACGAUGCGUAGCCGACCUGAGAGUGUGAUCGGCCACACUGGAACUGAGACACGGUCCAGACUCCUACGGGAGGCAGCAGUAGGGAAUCUUCCGCAAUGGGCGAAAGCCUGACGGAGCAACGCCGCGUGAGUGAUGAAGGUCUUCGGAUCGUAAAACUCUGUUAUUAGGGAAGAACAAAUGUGUAAGUAACUAUGCACGUCUUGACGGUACCUAAUCAGAAAGCCACGGCUAACUACGUG
RNAcentral lists this ribosomal RNA (497 nucleotides) under uncultured bacterium. Its description in RNAcentral is "partial 16S ribosomal RNA". It matches the Rfam family "Bacterial small subunit ribosomal RNA", at positions 28 to 507 of the family's 1533-position model. The record is from RNAcentral.